AUAUAACUAGACGGACUAUUCAGUAUACGGUAAUACAUGCCAGCUGGUGAAGCUACUACUAAAAAUAAGGUCUAUACGUAAUAUACAAGUUACUUGGCGAAAAAUUUGCAUUUUUAUUUUAAGUGUAAGUUGGAUAAACGUUACAGAGCAUGAAAAACCAAGAAAACAAAAAAUACAAUUCAAACUUCUUUCCUCAUCGCCAUUGUUGCCGAUAAUCAAUUAUCACAGUCUUACGUAUUGUGUAUUUUCCUCCUAAUCGACUACUUCCAGUUUCUCCAGAUUCUAUCACACUAUUCAUCAUUCUGCCACUGGAUCAUUUGCAUC
This is a non-coding RNA of Cinara cedri, 324 nucleotides long. Lineage: Eukaryota; Metazoa; Arthropoda; Insecta; Hemiptera; Aphididae. The record is from the annotation of a GenBank genome assembly.